RNAcentral lists this ribosomal RNA (497 nucleotides) under uncultured bacterium. RNAcentral's name for it is "partial 16S ribosomal RNA". It matches the Rfam family "Bacterial small subunit ribosomal RNA", at positions 28 to 507 of the family's 1533-position model. The record is from RNAcentral.
GAUGAACGCUGGCGGCGUGCCUAAUACAUGCAAGUCGAGCGAACAGACGAGGAGCUUGCUCCUCUGACGUUAGCGGCGGACGGGUGAGUAACACGUGGAUAACCUACCUAUAAGACUGGGAUAACUUCGGGAAACCGGAGCUAAUACCGGGUAAUAUAUUGAACCGCAUGGUUCAAUAGUGAAAGACGGUUUUGCUGUCACUUAUAGAUGGAUCCGCGCCGCAUUAGCUAGUUGGUAAGGUAACGGCUUACCAAGGCAACGAUGCGUAGCCGACCUGAGAGGGAGCUCGGCCACACUGGAACUGAGACACGGUCCAGACUCCUACGGGAGGCAGCAGUAGGGAAUCUUCCGCAAUGGGCGAAAGACUGACGGAGCAACGCCGCGUGAGUGAUGAAGGUCUUCGGAUCGUAAAACUCUGUUAUUAGGGACGAACAAAUGUGUAAGUAACUAUGCACGUCUUGACGGUACCUAAUCAGACAGCCACGGCUAACUACGUG